RNAcentral lists this long non-coding RNA (201 nucleotides) under Hordeum vulgare. Its description in RNAcentral is "long non-coding RNA (HVUL_LNC000869)". The record is from RNAcentral. Lineage: Eukaryota; Viridiplantae; Streptophyta; Magnoliopsida; Poales; Poaceae.
AAUUGUAGUAUACUAUGCCUAGUUGUUUUUAGUAGGUUUCCCAUUCCAUGUAUGUCAUGCUUAGUUGUAGUUUUGAUCAUGUGAACAAGUUAUGAUGAUGUUGCUGUUUGAUAAGGUCAAAUAUUACUAACUCCAAUAAUCUGAUUAUUUCAGACUACCAUGUUGAAUUGAUGCCAGCUAUGAUUGUGUGCAUAUUUAAAC